GGAUGUGAGGGCGAUCUGGCUGCCACAUCUGUCACCCCAUUGAUUGCCAGGGCUGAUUAGGCUGAUCUGGCUGGCUAGGCAGGUAUCCCCUUCCUCCCUCACGGCUGGACGUGCAUCCCUCCCGAAGCUGUGUGCUCGAAGAGGACGACCUUCCCCGAAUAGAGGAGGACCGGUCUUCGGUAAAGGGUAUAAGAGUAGCUGAGCUCCCCUGCUAGAAACUCCAAACAAGCUCUCAAGGUCCAUUUCCUCCUUCUUGCCUCCUCUCAUGCACUCCUGUUCUGUGUCUCUUCAGAAAAGAGCAGGUCCCCUAUGGCUAUCAAUAAAUCAUGGCAUAU
Molecule: unclassified non-coding RNA, 335 nt
Organism: Mesocricetus auratus (golden hamster)
Lineage: Eukaryota; Metazoa; Chordata; Mammalia; Rodentia; Cricetidae
Gene: 7SK
Rfam family: 7SK RNA
About the family: 7SK was discovered as an abundant small nuclear RNA in the mid-70s but a possible function has only recently been suggested. Two independent studies have found that 7SK RNA binds the CDK9/cyclin T complex (known as elongation factor P-TEFb). P-TEFb activates transcription by phosphorylating the C-terminal domain of RNA polymerase II.
Source: Ensembl